This 406-nucleotide ribosomal RNA is filed under the name uncultured bacterium. RNAcentral describes it as "partial 16S ribosomal RNA". It matches the Rfam family "Bacterial small subunit ribosomal RNA", at positions 29 to 526 of the family's 1533-position model. The record is from RNAcentral.
AUUGAACGCUGGCGGCAGGCCUAACACAUGCAAGUCGAGCGAGCGGCGGACGGGGGAGUAAGAUCUGUGAAACUGCCUGAUGGAGGGGGAUAACUACUGGAAACGGUGGCUAAUACCGCAUACCAUCUGAUGUGCCCAGAGGCGAGUGGCUAGGAGGUGGGGUAACGGCUUACCUAGGCGACGAUACCUAGCUGGUCUGAGAGGAUGACCAGCCACACGGGAACUGAGACACGGUCCAGACUCCUACGGGAGGCAGCAGUGGGGAAUAUUGCACAAUGGGCGCAAGCCUGAUGCAGCCAUGCCGCGUGUGUGAAGAAGGCCUUCGGGUUGUAAAGCACUUUCAGCGGGGAGGCGUUACCCGCAGAAGAAGCACCGGCUAACUCCGUGCCAGCAGCCGCGGUAAUUC